GACGAACGCUGGCGGCGUGCCUAAUACAUGCAAGUUGAGCGAUGAAGCUUGGUGCUUGCGCCAAUUUGAAGAGCAGCGAACGGGUGAGUAACGCGUGGGGAAUCUGCCUUUGAGCGGGGGACAACAUUUGGAAACGAAUGCUAAUACCGCAUAAUAACUUUAAACAUAAGUUUUAAGUUUGAAAGAUGCAAUUGCAUCACUCAAAGAUGAUCCCGCGUUGUAUUGGCUAGUUGGUGAGGUAAAGGCUCACCAAGGCGAUGAUACAUAGCCGACCUGAGAGGGGGAUCGGCCACAUUGGGACUGAGACACGGCCCAAACUCCUACGGGAGGCAGCAGGAGGGAAUCUUCGGCAAUGGACGAAAGUCUGACCGAGCAACGCCGCGGGAGUGAAGAAGGUUGUCGGAUCGUAAAACUCUGUUGGUAGAGAAGAACGUUGGUGAGAGUGGAAAGCUCAUCAAGUGACGGUAACUACCCAGAAAGGGACGGCUAACUACGUG
This 497-nucleotide ribosomal RNA is filed under the name uncultured bacterium. RNAcentral describes it as "partial 16S ribosomal RNA". It matches the Rfam family "Bacterial small subunit ribosomal RNA", at positions 28 to 507 of the family's 1533-position model. The record is from RNAcentral.